Molecule: ribosomal RNA, 253 nt
Filed under: uncultured bacterium
Lineage: Bacteria
Description: partial 16S ribosomal RNA
Rfam family: Bacterial small subunit ribosomal RNA
Source: RNAcentral
UACGUAGGUGGCAAGCGUUAUCCGGAUUUACUGGGCGUAAAGCGCCCGUAGGCGGCCUGACAAGUUGGACGUGAAAGCUCCUGGCUUAACUGGGAGAGGCCGUUCAAAACUGUCAAGCUAGAGUCUGGAAGAGGAGAGCGGAAUUCCCGGUGUAGUGGUGGAAUGCGUAGAGAUCGGGAGGAACACCGGUGGCGAAGGCGGCGACCUGGGUAGAUACUGACGCUGAGGUGCGAAAGCGUGGGGAGCAAACAGG